CCGCGGUAAUUCCAGCUCCAAUAGCGUAUAUUAAAGUUGUUGCAGUUAAAAAGCUCGUAGUUGAAUUUCGAGACCGGUUUAUUGGUCGUGCUUUUGUACGUACUGGUAUUAUUGGUUUCUCCUUUCUGACGAAUCUUAAUGCCAUUAAUUUGGUGUUUUGGGGAAUCAGGACUGUUACUUUGAAAAAAUUAGAGUGUUUAAAGCAGGCUCACGCUUGAAUACAUUAGCAUGGAAUAACGGAAUAGGACGUUUGAUUCUAUUUUGUUGGUUUCUAGGAUCGACGUAAUGAUUAAUAGGGAUAGUUGGGGGCAUUAGUAUUCAAUUGUCAGAGGUGAAAUUCUUGGAUUUAUUGAAGACUAACUACUGCGAAAGCAUUUGCCAAGGAUGUUUUCAUUAAUCAAGAACGAAAGUUAGGGGAUCGAAGACGAUCAGAUACCGUCGUAGUCUUAACCAUAAACUAUGCCGACUAGGGAUCGGAUGAUGUUAAUUUUUUAAUGACUCAUUCGGCGCCUUACG
RNAcentral lists this unclassified non-coding RNA (516 nucleotides) under uncultured Glomeromycotina. RNAcentral's name for it is "SSU rRNA". It matches the Rfam family "Eukaryotic small subunit ribosomal RNA", at positions 574 to 1092 of the family's 1831-position model. Lineage: Eukaryota; Fungi; Glomeromycota. The record is from RNAcentral.